UGCCCAGUCGUGGGGGAUAACUGCUCGAAAGAGCAGCUAAUACCGCAUACGACCUGAGGGUGAAAGCGGGGGAUCGCAAGACCUCGCGCGAUUGGAGCGGCCGAUAUCAGAUUAGGUAGUUGGUGGGGUAAAGGCCCACCAAGCCAACGAUCUGUAGCUGGUCUGAGAGGACGACCAGCCACACUGGGACUGAGACACGGCCCAGACUCNUACGGGAGGCAGCAGUGGGGAAUUUUGGACAAUGGGCGCAAGCCUGAUCCAGCCAUGCCGCGUGCGGGAAGAAGGCCUUCGGGUUGUAAACCGCUUUUGUCAGGGAAGAAAAGGUUCUGGUUAAUACCUGGGACUCAUGACGGUACCUGAAGAAUAAGCACCGGCUAACUACGUGCCAGCAGCCGCGGUAAUACGUAGGGUGCAAGCGUUAAUCGGAAUUACUGGGCGUAAAGCGUGCGCAGGCGGUUAUGCAAGACAGAGGUGAAAUCCCCGGGCUCAACCUGGGAACUGCCUUUGUGACUGCAUGGCUAGAGUACGGUAGAGGGGGAUGGAAUUCCGCGUGUAGCAGUGAAAUGCGUAGAUAUGCGGAGGAACACCGAUGGCGAAGGCAAUCCCCUGGACCUGUACUGACGCUCA
RNAcentral lists this ribosomal RNA (627 nucleotides) under uncultured beta proteobacterium. RNAcentral describes it as "bacterial SSU rRNA". It matches the Rfam family "Bacterial small subunit ribosomal RNA", at positions 127 to 749 of the family's 1533-position model. The record is from RNAcentral. Lineage: Bacteria; Pseudomonadati; Pseudomonadota; Betaproteobacteria.